This 526-nucleotide ribosomal RNA is filed under the name uncultured bacterium. RNAcentral's name for it is "bacterial SSU rRNA". It matches the Rfam family "Bacterial small subunit ribosomal RNA", at positions 369 to 885 of the family's 1533-position model. The record is from RNAcentral.
CAAUGGGCGAAAGCCUGACGGAGUGACGCCGCGUGUGGGACGAAGGCCUUCGGGUCGUAAACCACUGUCAGUGGGAAAGAUGGGUGUCGGCGCUAAUACCGCCGGCAUCUGACGGUACCUGCAGAGGAAGCCCCGGCCAACUCUGUGCCAGCAGCCGCGGUAAGACAGAGGGGGCAAGCGUUGCUCGGAAUUACUGGGCGUAAAGGGCGCGUAGGCGGGAUGGCAAGUCGGUCGUGAAAUCCCUCGGCUCAACUGAGGAACGUCGAUCGAUACUGCUGUUCUUGAGGAUUGCAGAGGAGACUGGAAUUCCCGGUGUAGCGGUGAAAUGUGUAGAGAUCGGGAGGAACACCGGUGGCGAAGGCGGGUCUCUGGGCAAUUCCUGACGCUGAGGCGCGAAAGCGUGGGGAGCAAACGGGAUUAGAUACCCCGGUAGUCCACGCUGUAAACGAUGAGCACUAGGUGUGGGGGGGUUCAGUCCCUUCCGUGCCGCAGCUAACGCAUUAAGUGCUCCGCCUGGGGAGUACGG